AUGAACGCUGGCGGCGUGCCUAAUACAUGCCCGUCGAGCGAACGGACGAGAAGCUUGCUUCUCUGAUGUUAGCGGCGGACGGGUGAGUAACACGUGGAUAACCUACCUAUAAGACUGGGAUAACUUCGGGAAACCGGAGCUAAUACCGGAUAAUAUUUUGAACCGCAUGGUUCAAAAGUGAAAGACGGUCUUGCUGUCACUUAUAGAUGGAUCCGCGCUGCAUUAGCUAGUUGGUAAGGUAACGGCUUACCAAGGCAACGAUGCAUAGCCGACCUGAGAGGGUGAUCGGCCACACUGGAACUGAGACACGGUCCAGACUCCUACGGGAGGCAGCAGUAGGGAAUCUUCCGCAAUGGGCGAAAGCCUGACGGAGCAACGCCGCGUGAGUGAUAAAGGUCUUCGGAUCGUAAAACUCUGUUAUUAGGGAAGAACAUAUGUGUAAGUAACUGUGCACAUCUUGACGGUACCUAAUCAGAAAGCCACGGCUAACUACGUG
This 496-nucleotide ribosomal RNA is filed under the name uncultured bacterium. RNAcentral's name for it is "partial 16S ribosomal RNA". It matches the Rfam family "Bacterial small subunit ribosomal RNA", at positions 29 to 507 of the family's 1533-position model. The record is from RNAcentral.